RNAcentral lists this long non-coding RNA (314 nucleotides) under Lathyrus oleraceus (garden pea). RNAcentral's name for it is "Pisum sativum (pea) long non-coding RNA (PSAT_LNC034004)". Lineage: Eukaryota; Viridiplantae; Streptophyta; Magnoliopsida; Fabales; Fabaceae. The record is from RNAcentral.
UUGGCUUUGCAGAACAAUCUUAGGGUUUAUAUGAGAGGGAAUUGGUUCUUUGCGGAUGAGUUCCCUUCAGUCUCUGGAGGUUGCUCUGAAUUAGUUAGAAUCUCUCUCUUUCAUUUUUCUCUAGGGUUUUGUUCCAAGGAAACUUCAGAGUGUUUUUAGCUUUCACCAAUUCUCCUCCUCCCUUUUUUCUUUACUGAAAUUUCAGAAUUUAUAACUUGAUUGUGGGCUCAAAUGAGAGAGGUCUAAGUCUAAGAUUUUUCUGUUAUAUUUUUUUUAUUUAUUCAUUUAUUUAUUUAUUAUUUUAUUUUUUUUUC